UGGAGACACCAUUUUGACCAUCUCUUUUGUGAGAUGUCAUGUGGUUUUUAUUAAUUUAGGCGCUGGACACCCUCUGCUGUGGCUUUCCCCUGAGCCCUGGAUGGCUGAUCAACUCAUUUACUCUGAGGAACUCAUGACUGAUCAUGGUAGUCAAGAAAAGGACUGUUAUCAACACUUGCAAAUGAAGAAACAGAGGCCCAGAGAGAUCAGGGAUGUGUCCAAGGCCACCCAGCCAGAUGGCGGCAGAGCUGGGACAGGAUGUUGGAUUCCUGUGAGGACCAAAAAUGAGAGAAUGUGCUUGAAGAAUAGUUGCAAACUGCAAAAGGCUGCCCACAGGCUCAAUUCCAGGAAGCGAGGGCUGGACUCUCUCUGCACUGUUCACACCCUUCCUUUUGGGGAGGCAGCAGGCUCAGAAAUAGCCUUCGCUUCUAUCCUCCCCGCUUCCCCUGGGAUUCGGGCUGAGUGUUUUCUUCUUGAAAAACAAAAAAUCAAAGCAGUUGCAGAAAAACCAAAAGCUCUUUUCUGCUUCCCCUCGGCUGCCCUUCUGCUCUCUGAGGCCAAGAGGAGAGGAUGUUGCUGGAGGCCUGGAUUUGGCUGGGGCCUUCCAGAGUCCUCACUGCCCUGCAAGGGCCACCAGGAGCAUCCUGGCCGGCGCUUGUCAUCUGUUCAGAGGCCAAUGCUGGUAGUGCUUUGAAAUGUGGGGCUCUGAUCUCAGCCCAACUCUGUCAGGCUAGGCUAUCACUGCCUGAGAGCACCGAGCAACCAUCUGGACAUGCCAGAGAAACGUACCCUGUCCUCUUCGCCAGAAAUAUUUAUUCAUUUCAAC
RNAcentral lists this long non-coding RNA (826 nucleotides) under Equus caballus (horse). Its description in RNAcentral is "lncRNA (ENSECAG00000056758.1)". The record is from RNAcentral. Lineage: Eukaryota; Metazoa; Chordata; Mammalia; Perissodactyla; Equidae.